GACAGAGGGUGCAAACGUUGUUCGGAAUUACUGGGCGUAAAGCGCGUGUAGGCGGCAGGGCAAGUCGGAUGUGAAAUCCCGUGGCUCAACCACGGAAGUGCACCCGAAACUGCCCAGCUAGAGUCUCGGAGAGGAAAGUGGAAUGCUUGGUGUAGAGGUGAAAUUCGUAGAUAUCAAGCGGAACACCGGUGGCGAAGGCGGCCUUCUGGACGAUGACUGACGCUGAGACGCGAAAGCGUGGGGAGCAAACAGG
Molecule: ribosomal RNA, 253 nt
Filed under: uncultured bacterium
Lineage: Bacteria
Description: partial 16S ribosomal RNA
Rfam family: Bacterial small subunit ribosomal RNA
Source: RNAcentral